GGGUUUCUGGGCUGAGAAGAGAGAGAGCAAGUGGAGAGACAGAGUAACAAGAAGGAGACGAAAGAGACGAGAAAGUAAGGAUCUUUCUUCAUAGCCGCCAUCAAAGGUUUACCACAAGGAGAAGGAAAGACAAAAACAAAACAGCAACAAAACUGAAGAACAGAAACUUUGUUUUUGAUGUUUUUUGUGCCCACAAAAGAGAGAUAAAGCAAAAGCAACAAAGAAGAAAGAAGAAUGCUUUUCUUUCUUUUUCUUGGGUUUUGUUUUAAAAAAACUUUCUUUGUCUCUGGCUCGCACUGAAUUAUGUAUGAAUUGUAAGGAGAGAUAAUCAACACACAGAAACAGGUUUUAAACCAGAGAGCAUUUUUUUUCUGGAUUUGUAGAGAGAGAGAAGGUUGUGUAGUGGUUUAGUGUGGGGGGGAGGGGAGAAUGAGGUUGGAAAGCUGAUACGGACCCGUAUUGGUGUGUGAUUUUACUUUUGUUCAGUUUCUCUUCUUUUUUUGUUUUAAUGCCAAUUUUGUGAAAACUUGUUCCACACAUAAAUAAGGGUGGCAAAUUAGGGGAAGAGAUCAGAGAUGGGAUGAGAACAUAAGAAAGGUUUAGUCUUUUUUUUAAAAAAAAAUUACAUUUUUA
RNAcentral lists this long non-coding RNA (633 nucleotides) under Brassica napus (rape). RNAcentral describes it as "long non-coding RNA (BNAP_LNC025233)". Lineage: Eukaryota; Viridiplantae; Streptophyta; Magnoliopsida; Brassicales; Brassicaceae. The record is from RNAcentral.